CAGCCGCCGCGGGAAUACGGAGGGUGCAAGCGUUAUCCGGAUUUAUUGGGUUUAAAGGGUCCGUAGGCGGAUCUGUAAGUCAGUGGUGAAAUCUCACAGCUUAACUGUGAAACUGCCAUUGAUACUGCAGGUCUUGAGUAAAUUUGAAGUGGCUGGAAUAAGUAGUGUAGCGGUGAAAUGCAUAGAUAUUACUUAGAACACCAAUUGCGAAGGCAGGUCACUAAGAUUUAACUGACGCUGAUGGACGAAAGCGUGGGGAGCGAACAGGAUUAGAGACCCGAGUAGUCCCUGUCUCUUAUAC
RNAcentral lists this ribosomal RNA (301 nucleotides) under uncultured bacterium. Its description in RNAcentral is "partial 16S ribosomal RNA". It matches the Rfam family "Bacterial small subunit ribosomal RNA", at positions 509 to 807 of the family's 1533-position model. The record is from RNAcentral.